AAUCUAUAAAUUAAAAAUUAAAGAGCUUACAUUAAUUAUUCAGUGGAUACAUGACAAAUGCUAAAAUGAUGAUAUCAUAUGAAAAAAAUUGGCCAACUUUCAUAUAUAUGAUUGUCGUUAUCAUUCAUCACUUCUCUUUUCGCUACUCGUAUAUAAUACGUAAAUAUGUGUGUACAU
This 177-nucleotide small RNA is filed under the name Arabidopsis thaliana (thale cress). RNAcentral describes it as "ATSL022500". Lineage: Eukaryota; Viridiplantae; Streptophyta; Magnoliopsida; Brassicales; Brassicaceae. The record is from RNAcentral.